Molecule: ribosomal RNA, 430 nt
Filed under: Verrucomicrobiota bacterium
Lineage: Bacteria; Pseudomonadati; Verrucomicrobiota
Description: Verrucomicrobia bacterium partial 16S ribosomal RNA
Rfam family: Bacterial small subunit ribosomal RNA
Source: RNAcentral
UGGGGAAUCUUCCGCAAUGGACGAAAGUCUGACGGAGCAACGCCGCGUGAGUGAUGACGGUCUUCGGAUUGUAAAGCUCUGUUAAUCGGGACGAAUGGUUUGUGUGCAAAUAGUGCAUAGACAUGACGGUACCGGAAUAGAAAGCCACGGCUAAAUACGUGCCAGCAGCCGCGGUAAUACGUAUGUUGCGAGCGUUAUCCGGAAUUAUUGGGCUUAAAGGGCAUCUAGGCGGUAAGACAAGUUGAAGGUGAAAACCUGUGGCUCAACCAUAGGCUUGCCUACAAAACUGUUGAACUAGAGUACUGGAAAGGUGGGUGGAACUACACGAGUAGAGGUGAAAUUCGUAGAUAUGUGUAGGAAUGCCGAUGAUGAAGAUAACUCACUGGACAGAAACUGACGCUGAAGUGCGAAAGCUAGGGGAGCAAACAGG